This 387-nucleotide transfer-messenger RNA is filed under the name Brevibacterium rongguiense. It matches the Rfam family "transfer-messenger RNA". From Rfam's summary of the family: Bacterial tmRNA, also known as 10Sa RNA or SsrA, is named for its dual tRNA and mRNA-like properties. Its role is to liberate the mRNA from a stalled ribosome. To accomplish this part of the tmRNA is used as a reading frame that ends in a translation stop signal. Lineage: Bacteria; Bacillati; Actinomycetota; Actinomycetes; Micrococcales; Brevibacteriaceae. The record is from Rfam by way of RNAcentral. RNAcentral also lists the same sequence under 1 other name.
GGGGAUGAUCGGUUUCGACGUUGGACAACGCGUCGGGAGAAGCGGGUCGAGAAUGCAGAGUCAUCUCGUUAAUGUCCUCUGCAAAAAAUAGGUGCUAAGUCUAACAACCGCACCGAGUUCGCCCUCGCCGCCUGAUAACAGGCAUUCAACAGCGAGCUGCGACUCCGUCAGCCUAGAGUUGCUUUCACUCUAGUCACUGGCGUCAGCGAGAAAGCCACUGCUGUCGGCACAUGUUGGGGGUGCCGACGGGACUUCUACUCAACUCCGUCCGCUGGUCUACGUGUUCGUGCGAUGACCAGGACCUAAGAAGCUGCUUCACGAACUGCACCCGGAGAAUGCCCGGCAACUUGCCGACGGACGCGGGUUCGAUUCCCGCCAUCUCCACGU